RNAcentral lists this long non-coding RNA (297 nucleotides) under Panax ginseng (ginseng). Its description in RNAcentral is "long non-coding RNA (PGIN_LNC002307)". Lineage: Eukaryota; Viridiplantae; Streptophyta; Magnoliopsida; Apiales; Araliaceae. The record is from RNAcentral.
GUUUAUCUAAAACUUGUUGUCUAUUGUAUUCUAUCAGAUUUUUCAAUAUUGAGGACUAAGGAUAUAAUUUUUUCAUCAUUAUCUUAGUCAUAAUAUUCUUUACUGGGCUAGUUGUGCUUACCUUUUUUCUUUUGGUUCCAUUGUUCUUCUCAAGAGGUGAGAAUGUAGCUGGGACUAGUCGGGGAGUGGAGUAAUGGUCCAAGAUGGUUAUUAUAACAGUCCUCACUAUUUUGUAAAAUAGUGUGACAAUAAUUGUAACGAGGACAUUAUUUGAGUUUGGAUAUUGUCUACUGUAAG